This is a non-coding RNA of Pelobates cultripes (western spadefoot toad), 346 nucleotides long. The record is from the annotation of a GenBank genome assembly. Lineage: Eukaryota; Metazoa; Chordata; Amphibia; Anura; Pelobatidae.
CUCUGCUUUGAUCGUAUCUUUAGUACAUAGUAUUAUUACCCUAUCUAAAGUACUUAAAUUACAGCUAGUAGAUUUUUGCUUAUUCUUUGAGGAAAGAAAAACUUCCUGCUUGUACUGUGCCUAUAACUAUUGUUGACUGCCUUUAUAAUUACAUGUUUACAUCUAGUACAAUUGGUAAAUUGAAUUGCAUUCUUUGUAUUUAACUUGUACUGACCUACCAAGACCCAUGCUGGAGAAAGAUCAUUGAUACAGAAACAUUGUCACGUCCAGUAGCGAUGGGCAAAUAACAAUUGGGAAUUUCAGGUCGAAUGGAAUGUUACAGACACUAGUGUGCAUUACUUUUCAG